CUACGGGCUGCUGCAGUGAGGAAUAUUGCACAAUGGGGGGAACCCUGAUGCAGCAACGCCGCGUGGAGGAUGACGCAUUUCGGAGUGUAAACUCCUUUUAUAUGUCAAGAAAAUGACGGUAGCAUAUGAAUAAGCACCGGCUAACUCCGUGCCAGCAGCCGCGGUAAUACGGAGGGUGCAAGCGUUACUCGGAAUCACUGGGCGUAAAGGACGCGUAGGCGGGUUGGAAAGUCAGGUGUGAAAUCCUACAGCUUAACUGUAGAACUGCACUUGAAACUUCUAAUCUAGAGUAUGGGAGGGGGAGAUGGAAUUAGUGGUGUAGGGGUAAAAUCCGUAGAUAUCACUAGGAAUACCUAAAGCGAAGGCGAUCUCCUGGAACAUUACUGACGCUAAGGCGUGAAAGCGUGGGGAGCAAACAGGAUUAGAUACCCUAGUAGUC
RNAcentral lists this ribosomal RNA (439 nucleotides) under uncultured bacterium. Its description in RNAcentral is "partial 16S ribosomal RNA". It matches the Rfam family "Bacterial small subunit ribosomal RNA", at positions 339 to 795 of the family's 1533-position model. The record is from RNAcentral.